Molecule: ribosomal RNA, 433 nt
Filed under: uncultured bacterium
Lineage: Bacteria
Description: partial 16S ribosomal RNA
Rfam family: Bacterial small subunit ribosomal RNA
Source: RNAcentral
AACGAACGCUGGCGGCAUGCCUAACACAUGCAAGUCGAACGAGACCUUCGGGUCUAGUGGCGCACGGGUGCGUAACGCGUGGGAACCUGCCCUUAGGUUCGGACUAACUCCCCGAAAGGGGUGCUAAUACCGGAUAAUGUCUUCGGACCAAAGAUUUAUCGCCUUUGGGUGUGCCCGCGUUGGAUUAUCUAGUUGGUAGGGUAAAAGCCUACCAAGGCGACGAUCCAUAGCUGGUCUGAGAGGAUGAUCAGCCACACUGGGACUGAGACACGGCCCAGAAUCCUACGGGAGGCAGCAGUGGGGAAUAUUGGAAAAUGGGCGAAAGCCUGAACCAGCAAUGACGCGUGAGUGAUGAAGGCCUUAGGGUUGUAAAGCUCUUUUACCCGGGAUGAUAAUGACAGUACCGGGAGAAUAAGCGCCGGCUAACUCCGUG